CCUACGGUGUGCAGCAGUGGGGAAUAUUGCACAAUGGGCGAAACCCUGAUGCAGCGACGUAGCGUGAGUGAAGCAGUAUUUCGGUAUGUAAAGCUCUAUCCGUAGGGAAGAAAUAAAGUCCUUGGGACUUUGGACGGUACAUGACUAAGAAGCCCCGGCUAACUACGUGCCAGCAGCCGCGGUAAUACGUAGGAGGCAAUGGUUAUCCGGAUUUACUUGGUGUUAAGGGAGUGUAGACGGCAGUGAAAGUCUGCAGUGAAAUCCGAUGGCUUAACCAUGGAACUGUUUUUGAAACUGUGCAGCGGGAGUGCAGGAGAGGUAGGCGGAAUUCGUAGUGUAGCGGUGAAAUGCUUAGAUAUUAGGAGGAACUCCAGUUGCGAAGGCAGCUGACUGGACUGUAACUGACGUUGAGGCUCGAAAGCGUGGGGAGCAAACAGGAUUAGAUACCCUUGUAGUC
RNAcentral lists this ribosomal RNA (457 nucleotides) under uncultured bacterium. Its description in RNAcentral is "partial 16S ribosomal RNA". It matches the Rfam family "Bacterial small subunit ribosomal RNA", at positions 338 to 795 of the family's 1533-position model. The record is from RNAcentral.